UCCAGACUCCUACGGGAGGCAGCAGUGGGGAAUAUUGCACAAUGGGGGAAACCCUGAUGCAGCGACGCCGCGUGAGCGAUGAAGUAUUUCGGUAUGUAAAGCUCUCUCAGCAGGGAAGAAGAUGACGGUACCUGACUAAGAAGCCCCGGCUAACUACGUGCCAGCAGCCGCGGUAAUACGUAGGGGGCAAGCGUUAUCCGGAUUUACUGGGUGUAAAGGGAGCGUAGACGGCGGUGCAAGCCAGAUGUGAAAGCCCGGGGCUCAACCCCGGGACUGCAUUUGGAACUGCGUGGCUGGAGUGCAGGAGGGGCAGGCGGAAUUCCUGGUGUAGCGGUGAAAUGCGUAGAUAUCAGGAGGAACACCGGUGGCGAAGGCGGCCUGCUGGACUGCAACUGACGUUGAGGCCCGAAAGCGUGGGGAGCAAACAGGAUUAGAUACCCGUGUA
This 445-nucleotide ribosomal RNA is filed under the name uncultured bacterium. RNAcentral's name for it is "bacterial SSU rRNA". It matches the Rfam family "Bacterial small subunit ribosomal RNA", at positions 330 to 792 of the family's 1533-position model. The record is from RNAcentral.